CUAACUCAGAAUGAGAGACUUCAGUGUGUGAUAGAGGUGGCGGCAACUUCGUUUCACACUCGCUUUGAAUCCAAAAAUGUGACGGCAAGAGACUUCUACUGGCUGUGACAGCCAGACAUGCUGUGCUUUUGUUCUCACUUUAAGCCCUGAAAAAAUCAAAACUUAUUUUGCACUGGGGUGAGAACAUGACAAAAAUACUUUGUGCAGGUUACAUAUCUCAGUGGAGUCAGUUCUAGAACAUACUGGGGUAGUUUUAAUGGAGCAAUGGAUUCUACCACUGUGAAGUUUCUAAAACAAAGAGUUUUCACUUCAGCUCCCAGCAGGAGCACUUUUUGCAGCUUGAAGAUUGCUCCAUGUGUCCAGAGGCUAGUGCUCUCAAAAUGAGG
Cyprinus carpio carpio is the source of this 386-nucleotide long non-coding RNA. Lineage: Eukaryota; Metazoa; Chordata; Actinopteri; Cypriniformes; Cyprinidae. The record is from Ensembl.